Molecule: ribosomal RNA, 200 nt
Filed under: uncultured bacterium
Lineage: Bacteria
Description: partial 16S ribosomal RNA
Rfam family: Bacterial small subunit ribosomal RNA
Source: RNAcentral
AUUGAACGCUGGCGGAAUGCUUUACACAUGCAAGUCGAACGGCAGCACGGGAGCUUGCUCCUGGUGGCGAGUGGCGAACGGGUGAGUAAUACAUCGGAACGUACCCAGUUAUGGGGGAUAACUAACCGAAAGGUUAGCUAAUACCGCAUACGCCCUGAGGGGGAAAGCUAGGGAUCUUCGGACCUGGCGUUGAUGGAGCG